This 253-nucleotide ribosomal RNA is filed under the name uncultured bacterium. RNAcentral describes it as "partial 16S ribosomal RNA". It matches the Rfam family "Bacterial small subunit ribosomal RNA", at positions 524 to 776 of the family's 1533-position model. The record is from RNAcentral.
UACAGAGGGUGCAAGCGUUAAUCGGAAUUACUGGGCGUAAAGGGCGCGUAGGUGGUUAUGUAAGUAAGAUGUGAAAUCCCCGGGCUUAACCUGGGAACUGCGUCUUAGACUGCAUAGCUGGAGUACAAUAGAGGGUAGUGGAAUUUCCGGUGUAGCGGUGAAAUGCGUAGAUAUCGGAAGGAACACCAGUGGCGAAGGCGGCUACCUGGAUUGAUACUGACACUGAGGCGCGAAAGCGUGGGGAGCAAACAGG